Molecule: ribosomal RNA, 239 nt
Filed under: uncultured bacterium
Lineage: Bacteria
Description: partial 16S ribosomal RNA
Rfam family: Bacterial small subunit ribosomal RNA
Source: RNAcentral
UGGCGAACGGGUGAGUAACGCGUGAGGAACCUGCCUCAAAGAGGGGGACAACAGUUGGAAACGACUGCUAAUACCGCAUAAGCCCACGGGUCGGCAUCGACCUGAGGGAAAAGGAGCAAUCCGCUUUGAGAUGGCCUCGCGUCCGAUUAGCUAGUUGGUGAGGUAACGGCCCACCAAGGCACGAUCGGUAGCCGGACUGAGAGGUUGAACGGCCACAUUGGGACUGAGACACGGCCCAG